Erinaceus europaeus (western European hedgehog) is the source of this 106-nucleotide small nuclear RNA. The record is from Ensembl. NCBI's taxonomy places the organism in Eukaryota, Metazoa, Chordata, Mammalia, Eulipotyphla, Erinaceidae.
GUGCUUGCUUCAGCCGCACAUAGACUAAAAUGGGAAUGCUACAGAGAAGAUUAGCAUGGCCCUGUGUAAGGAUGACACACAAAUUCGUCAAGCGUUCCAUAUUAAA